AUACGGAGGGUCCGAGCGUUAUCCGGAAUUAUUGGGUUUAAAGGGUCCGUAGGCGGGCCAUUAAGUCAGGGGUGAAAGUCUGCGGCUCAACCGUAGAAUUGCCUUUGAUACUGAUGGUCUUGAGUUAUAGUGAAGUUGGCGGAAUAUGUAGUGUAGCGGUGAAAUGCAUAGAUAUUACAUAGAACACCGAUUGCGAAGGCAGCUGACUAACUAUAUACUGACGCUGAGGGACGAAAGCGUGGGGAGCGAACAGGAUUAGAAACCCCGGUAGUCC
RNAcentral lists this ribosomal RNA (274 nucleotides) under uncultured bacterium. RNAcentral describes it as "partial 16S ribosomal RNA". It matches the Rfam family "Bacterial small subunit ribosomal RNA", at positions 523 to 796 of the family's 1533-position model. The record is from RNAcentral.